AUCUUAUAGAAGUAAUAAUUGUAGGUGAGCUCUGCCCUAUGAAUUUUGUAGUAAUUUUAAAUGGCCGCAGUACCUUGACUGUGCUAAGGUAGCAUAAUAAUUUGUCUUUUAAUUAGAGACUAGAAUGAAAGAGUUAUUCGGGUUAAUUUAUGUCUUAAGUUUUAUUUAUAAAAUUUACUUAUUAGGUGAAAAUUCCUAUAUUUGUUUAGACUAGACGAGAAGACCCUUAGAAUUUAUUAAAUAUUUAUUGGUAGUGUGAUUUGAUAGUAGAUAUUAUACUAUUUAGAUACACCUCUGUUUCGUGCAGUUAUUUUUUUGUUGGGGCAACAGGUAAUAUUUUGUAGUUUUUGAGGAGAUAUUUAGGAUAUCAAGUUAUAUGUAUUGAUAAAUUAUUAUAUUGAAUUGUUUUUUGUCUAACAAGUAGAAAGAUAAUUAUUUUAAGAGUGAUGAAAUUACCUAAGGGAUAACAGCUUAAUUUAUCAGAUAAGAUUAAGACCUCGAUGUUGGAUUAGGGAGCUUCAAAAAUGAUUAAUUAAUUAGUUAACAACUUAGUAGCAUAGUUCUGUUCGAACUUUAAUACCCU
Molecule: ribosomal RNA, 583 nt
Filed under: Halongella schlumbergeri
Lineage: Eukaryota; Metazoa; Mollusca; Gastropoda; Stylommatophora; Plectopylididae
Description: partial 16S ribosomal RNA
Rfam family: Archaeal large subunit ribosomal RNA (bases 1-136)
Source: RNAcentral